Loxodonta africana (African savanna elephant) is the source of this 139-nucleotide small nucleolar RNA. Ensembl annotates it as small nucleolar RNA SNORA8. Its record names the gene SNORA8. The record is from Ensembl. Lineage: Eukaryota; Metazoa; Chordata; Mammalia; Proboscidea; Elephantidae.
UGCACUGCAUGGUAUCUGCAUUCAGCAGUUCACUCCUGCUGGGAUGUUCCAAGGACAGUGCGACAGAAAUUCAGUAGCUGGCAUCGUUGGUUUUCUUGGCUUUGUGCAUGUUAAACCUGGUAUUUCUAUUGGUACAGUU